This 238-nucleotide long non-coding RNA is filed under the name Lathyrus oleraceus (garden pea). RNAcentral describes it as "Pisum sativum (pea) long non-coding RNA (PSAT_LNC022355)". Lineage: Eukaryota; Viridiplantae; Streptophyta; Magnoliopsida; Fabales; Fabaceae. The record is from RNAcentral.
UAAGAGUCGAUCUCGAACACCUUUGAGUCAGAUCCAUCAUUCUAGAAGGUGGGAUAAAGGGGCUCUUAAAAACUCACUGAAUCUUUUUUUUCAUACUAUUUACGUUUGUCAAAAUUUUGUAGCUCAAGCUAUCGUUCCCCCUAAAAGGGCCAAAAAAGAAGAAAUUUGAACUAGGUGGAGAAAGUGAAGAGUCUUGCCCAGUACUUGGCCAAGAAAAAGAGACAAAACAACUACAAUU